RNAcentral lists this ribosomal RNA (253 nucleotides) under uncultured bacterium. Its description in RNAcentral is "partial 16S ribosomal RNA". It matches the Rfam family "Bacterial small subunit ribosomal RNA", at positions 524 to 776 of the family's 1533-position model. The record is from RNAcentral.
UACGAAGGGGGCUAGCGUUGUUCGGAAUUACUGGGCGUAAAGCGCAUGCAGGCGGAUCGCUAAGUCAGGGGUGAAAGCCCGAGGCUCAACCUCGGAACUGCCUUUGAUACUGGCGAUCUUGAGUCCGGGAGAGGUGAGUGGAACUCCGAGUGUAGAGGUGAAAUUCGUAGAUAUUCGGAAGAACACCGAUGGCGAAGGCAGCCAUCUGGACCGACACUGACGCUGAGGCGCGAAAGCGUGGGGAGCAAACAGG